GGAGCCCCCUUAAAUUUAAGAAUCCAAAUGCUUACGUAAGAAGUUUGGUUUCAGGAGGUUAGAACUUGCCUCUUACAUCUAAGCACGAGCAUCUAAGAUUGUUCCUUGUAAAUAUUUGAACUAGUAAAAUUUGUAUUCUUUAGAAACAUUUCGAACACCAGUAUUUGAUGAGGUAAUUAAAGCUUUUCUUUUUAUAUUCCUCCACAUUGUUGUCAUGGAUUGCAUGUGCAGUCAUGGAAGUUACAUUUAUUUGAGAAAUUUUAUUUUUGUUUAAUUUAAUACCUUUUAAAUUUAGUCUAACAUAUUUGCUUCAAAUCUCAACAACAAAAAAUUGUAAAGAAAAACUAUGAAAAUUACCUCAUUUUGGAUAGUCUGCCAAAAUUUACCUAAAGCAUUGAAGUUGAUGUGGAUAUAAUUUCUUUUAGGGGAGGCAGUUGUUCAUUUUUAAUUUUGCCAAAAAUUUGUAUAUGUACACAAAUAAUAUUUCUGCACCAAAGUAACCAAAUAACAUCUGAAAAAGGACAUCUGUUUAUCAGUAACAUCAUCGAAUUUUAAAAAGAAAUGACAGAAUUUUCAUUAUUUUUUUUCAAUAUCAGGGGCAAAUAAAUUGCUCUUAUCAAUCCUUCUUUCUCGAACUAAAAGACUCCUAGUGAUCAGGUUGUACAUUAUAUCACAGAAACUUCUAGAACAAUGAAAGGAUAAUAAACCUUUUAAAAGAAUUUGAUGUCUAAAAGUAAGAAGGCUUUCAUAAGAACAGUUCUAUCCAAUCAUAUCUAGGCUUUCAUAAAAGCAGUUCUAUCCAAUAAAGAUUACUAUCUAUAUUCAAGAAUACUUUGCAUGAUUGCUAAGAACACAAUAUUAUCACAGAAAUUCUUUAAGUACACUGUAUACAUGCAAAUUGUACUAACAUACUGUAUAAUACCAGUUGUACUAACAUACUUAUCACAACUUUAUUCUCAUCUUUGGUCUAUCAUCUAAAAGCAAAUAAUAUUGUAAAUUAUGUGGCCAAAUAAAUCUCAAUAGUAGAUAAUCAUCCCAGUCUGAUUCCUAUAUACUAUCAGAAGAUGAGAAUAUCUUUUUUGAGUGUUAGAUUUCUAUUGUUUUGGUCACUUUUACUCAUACACAUAUUGUGGUAGAUAUUACUUGUCUGCUGGACUUUAAAAAAAAAAAAUCUUUAUACCAAAACUAUUGAUUACACAGAUGACAAAAAUCUACAUAUUUAGUUUACUUGGCCAUUGCAAAUAAAUAAAGUGAUGUAAUAAAUAAUAUCUAUCUACAACUCAGUUACAUACUAAAACAAAACAUUAAUUUUCUUAUUUUUUUUUUUAAUUUUACAAUGUCAUUACUAAUUCAUGGUUAAAAGUAACCUAGAAAAAAAUCUUUGAAACAGUAUUUUGAAAAAUGAAAAUAUUCUUUUAUCAUUUUAACCUGAAUCGUCAAACUAGCUACCUGAUAUCUCAAACAAUAAUUAGUAACAAAUAACAGCAGUACAAUUUGAACCCUGUUCUUAAAAACCCUGAAGUUUGAUUAAUUCCCUAAUUCUACAUAUCAAAGGUAUUACAAAUAAACAAAAAUAUACAACAGAAAAACUCAAAUUGCUAACUUCUUUAGCUAGUUUUAUACCCGCCUGUCCCCAAACAUAUUUGAUGGAAUUGUGUGCCCAAAUUUAUGUGAAUGUGUUGUGUGUAGUAAUGAUACAUAUAUAAAACAAAUGGACAACUAUUCUAGAUAUAGCACCUUAAAAGUAACAGAUUAAUAAAAUGAUGUAAACAUGAAUACAUAUACCAUUAAAAAUAUGUAAAUAAAAUAACAUCAACAACAUAAAAAUAUCAGUGUGCUGCAGUUUAAGAGAGGAAUGUUUGACAUAACAUUGGAUUCUGGUAGGAAUGAUUAAUUCUUGACAAGCUUUAAGUAUCACUGAAACAUAAUUUUGUACCAUUUUUUUUAUAUUAUUCUUCAUAAUCCAAAUUUUACCAAAUUAUUGAACAAUUUUGAUUCCCAAAUUAAAAAAAACCCAAAAAACUGAUAAAGGUCAUAACAAGGUCAGAGGACAAAGGUUAUAACAGAUAGUGAUGACAUAGUGUGUUUAUUCCAAUACAUUUCUUUCUUCAAUACAUUACAUUAUGAGAUGAGUACUUUUCCUCCAAACUAAAGCAGAUUGCUCUUAUUUGACCAUUAAAAGUUGUUACUAAUCUCUAAACUAUAGCUAAAUGAUGCAUAAAGGUGUAAGGAUGUCACAUAAUGUUAAACAGCAGUCUGUGUCAUAAUAUUGUUUUACUUUGCCACUUUCAUACUAUAAAUGUAUUGAAAAAAAAAACUGAGGUUCAGAAGUUUUUAUAAAACAAAAUAAGAUAUGCAUUAAGUGAUACUUUAUAAACAAUCAAUUAGUAACAGCAUGUUGCGGUAAAAUUCUUUUGAAAUGCACUUGGUCCCAUUUCUGGUGUACAAUCCAUAUUAAAACAGUAAAAUAUAUGUACAAAAUUUACAUCAACUUCAACAUGACCUAAAUCAUUACUGGGGUGAGUAAACACACCCACUCUUCUUACUCUCUACAAUCUACAAUACUUCAUUUAUUCAUAUAAUACAAGAAUUCUUCAAACAUUCAUCCAUUCAGUCUCCAUAGCAUUCAUGAACAGAAUUUAUUUACAAAUAAAUUAUCAUCUAAACAUUUCUACAUCUUCAUUCAAUAAAACACUUCCAAAAACUUUUGUAUCAGGAGAUAGAUUAUAUUUCUGAAUCAGGUGACAUGAUGGAGCCCUUGAGAUUUAAUAAGACCAAACAAAUAAGAGAUUCAAAGUUAUAAAACACCAUUUACUGAAAGACUUACCAAUUUGAAUUCCGUUAAAAAAUGGUAUAAUAAUUAUCAAGAAGAAAGAGAUAUUAACUUAUGUAUAAAUUUGGCAAAAACCAAGAAAAUGUUUGACAACAAAAUAAAUGCUUUUUUGUUUGUUUAAUACAUCUGUUAUCUGAUCUUUUACAAGAAUAUGUGUCUUGAGGACAGCAUACCCUGAUUACAUCUUCACAUUUUAUUGUUCAGUGAACUACAAAAUUAGGGUCAAAAUCUUAAUUCAGUCCUGCCAACUAUCCCAAUUUUGGCGGUAUCAUUCCGAUUUUCAUGCCUCAACCAGAAUCCUGAUAUCGUGAUCAUAAAACAUGUCAAAAUCCCGAUUUUCACAAAAUUUACCUGAACAAAUUAUUGGUUACUGAUUUUGAAUUUUUUCUGAUCAAUUUCUAUAAAUCUAUAAUAUUACCUGGCGACAUUAUCAUGACAAGUUUACUUCCCUGUGCUAAUCAACGGUCAAAACAGAUGUUAUAAUUUGUUGUUACAGGUAAUCUGCUUAUCUGAUGGAUCAUAACUAUCCUCAAAAUUAAUUAAUUUGUUAACAGAAUCGGUAGGUCGGCUUUUCUAUUUUAAUCAAUGAUCAAAAUUUGCAAUGUUUACCGUAGUUUCAUGAAAACAAAAUCGUAAUUAACUGAAGGCCAAAAACUGUAAUGACCUCUUUAGAAAACAACGUUUAUCUUGAAAUCCGUUAAAAUUUUUGAAAUUAGAAAUGUUUCCAUCCAGUUCUGAUUUAACUUGACGCCAUUUUGUAUUAACUUCUACUGUGUAUAAGCCUCUGCUGGUAAGAGCACCUCUGAACACAAAGAAAGAUAACUAAAAUUUUAUUCAUUUUCUCAUAAAUACUGAUAGACUAACUCAAAAUCUGUUUUCUUCCUUUUAACUUUAGGAUAUUUAGGUUUAGAUCUUUUGGGUCAUGGUGAAAAGAUAAGAAGGUCUUAAGAGUGAGAAAAAAGGGGGGUCUUCACUUUGUAUCCUUUACUUUUUUUUAGGCCAUUUUUCUCUAUUCGUAAGUUAGUUUGCCAAUUAAUAAGUACAAGAAUCAUGCAAAGAAAAGAAAUCAAGGCUUAUUAGCUCAACAUCAUCAUACCAAAAGAAAAAACAGUGCACACAGAAACGCCGCAAAAAUUGUAACCCUUAAAAAUCUGGUCAUGCACUAAAUCCCCCAUGGAGAUCUUCAAAAGUUGGCAGGUCUGUUAAUUUGAUUUAUUUUAUAUUUUCAAAAGGUUCUCAACAUAUUGAAGGCAUGUACAAGAUUUCAAGGUGACCAAAACUUAUUACUUGUGUAAAUUGUCUUGAAUUUUAAAUUAAAACUUGACACAGGACAGACAGACUUUUAAAAAAGGGUGCACAGACCAGAAAAAAUAAUGCCCCCUUCUAUUGUAGAUGUGGCAUAAAACCUAUAACCUUUUGUAGGUUAUUCAUAAAAAAAUCAAGGAGAAAUUUAUGACUGCUCAUGAUUAAAACUUUCUACUGAGAGACUUCACUCUUUGCUAGAAUGCAGUUUUAUCCAACUUUUAUAAGAACGAAACAAAAGUUUAUUGCGUGCCAUUAAGUUGAGCAAACUUUUCUUAUUUAAUCAUAUAAAUUUUAAAUACAAUUUGGAAUGAAAGCCUUUGUUAUUAACCCUGAGUAUAUAUAUACCUAAUCAGUGUCAUUCUAAGGCCAUACCUAUAAAAUGUGUUUAAAUACAGGACAAUAAACUUUCAUCACUCAUUCAUACUGCACCAGGUAGUUGUAUUAUUGUGUGCUGAGCAUCACAAUACAUUAUAUAUAUUUAACAAUGACAUAAUGAUAAUACUGUACUCAAUGGGAAAAGACUUCACUUAGUAAAUACACUGUCAAGUCAUUCUUAUGAAUUAUUGGAAUUAUAUAUCAAAUAAAUUUUUGUAAAAGUGAAAAUUCCAUUGUUUUCCAAAUUACACUUAAUAAAUGUUUU
Molecule: long non-coding RNA, 4778 nt
Filed under: Mytilus galloprovincialis (Mediterranean mussel)
Lineage: Eukaryota; Metazoa; Mollusca; Bivalvia; Mytilida; Mytilidae
Source: RNAcentral